UACGUAGGGUGCGAGCGUUGUCCGGAAUUAUUGGGCGUAAAGAGCUCGUAGGCGGUGUGUCGCGUCGGCCGUGAAAACCUGGGGCUCAACUCUGGGCGUGCGGUCGAUACGGGCAUCACUUGAGUUCGGCAGGGGAGACUGGAAUUCCUGGUGUAGCGGUGAAAUGCGCAGAUAUCAGGAGGAACACCGGUGGCGAAGGCGGAUCUCUGGGCCUUACCUGACGCUGAGGCGCGAAAGCUAGGGGAGCGAACAGG
Molecule: ribosomal RNA, 254 nt
Filed under: uncultured bacterium
Lineage: Bacteria
Description: partial 16S ribosomal RNA
Rfam family: Bacterial small subunit ribosomal RNA
Source: RNAcentral